This 408-nucleotide ribosomal RNA is filed under the name uncultured bacterium. Its description in RNAcentral is "partial 16S ribosomal RNA". It matches the Rfam family "Bacterial small subunit ribosomal RNA", at positions 28 to 526 of the family's 1533-position model. The record is from RNAcentral.
GACGAACGCUGGCGGCGUGCCUAAUACAUGCAAGUCGAGCGAAGCGGCGGAUGGGUGAGUAACGCGUGGGUAACCUGCCCUUAAGUCCGGGAUACCAUUUGGAAACAGAUGCUAAUACCGGAUACUAUAGGAUGGCACUGCGAUGCAUUAGCUAAUUGGUAAGGUAACGGCUUACCAAGCCGAUGAUGCAGAGCCGAGUUGUGAGACUGAUCGGCAAGAUUGGGACUGAGACACGGCCCACACUCCUACGGGAGGCAGCAGUAGGGAAGCUUCCACAAUGGACGAAAGUCUGAUGGAGCAACGCCGCGUGAGUGAAGAAGGUUUUCGGAUCGUAAAGCUCUGUUGUUGGUGAAGCGGUAAUCAACCAGAAAGUCACGGCUAACUACGUGCCAGCCGCCGCGGUAAUUC